GUGUCGUGAGAUGUUGGUUAAGUCCGUACGAGCGCAACCCUGUCCUUAGUUACCAGCACGUUAUGGUGGGCGACUCUAAGGAGACUGCCGGUGACAAACCGGAGGAAGGUGGGGAUGACGUCAAGUCAUCAUGGCCCUUACGGCCUGGGCUACACACGUGCUACAAUGGUCGGUACAAAGGGUUGCCAAGCCGCGAGGUGGAGCUAAUCCCAUAAAACCGAUCGUAGUCCGGAUCGCAGUCUGCAACUCGACUGCGUGAAGUCGGAAUCGCUAGUAAUCGUGAAUCAGAAUGUCACGGUGAAUACGUUCCCGGGCCUU
Molecule: ribosomal RNA, 318 nt
Filed under: uncultured Pseudomonas sp.
Lineage: Bacteria; Pseudomonadati; Pseudomonadota; Gammaproteobacteria; Pseudomonadales; Pseudomonadaceae
Description: bacterial SSU rRNA
Rfam family: Bacterial small subunit ribosomal RNA
Source: RNAcentral